GACGAACGCUGGCGGCGUGCCUAAUACAUGCAAGUCGAACGAGAGCAACCGGUGCUUGCACUGGUCAAUCUAGUGGCGAACGGGUGAGUAACACGUGGGUAACCUGCCCAUCAGAGGGGGAUAACAUCCGGAAACGGAUGCUAAAACCGCAUAGGUCUUCGAACCGCAUGGUUUGAAGAGGAAAAGAGGCGCAAGCUUCUGCUGAUGGAUGGACCCGCGGUGCAUUAGCUAGUUGGUGAGGUAACGGCUCACCAAGGCCGUGAUGCAUAGCCGACCUGAGAGGGUGAUCGGCCACAUUGGGACUGAGACGCGGCCCAAACUCCUACGGGAGGCAGCAGUAGGGAAUCUUCCGCAAUGGACGCAAGUCUGACGGAGCAACGCCGCGUGAGUGAAGAAGGUUUUCGGAUCGUAAAACUCUGUUGUUAGAGAAGAACAAGUGCUAGAGUAACUGUUAGCGCCUUGACGGUAUCUAACCAGAAAGCCACGGCUAACUACGUG
This 498-nucleotide ribosomal RNA is filed under the name uncultured bacterium. RNAcentral describes it as "partial 16S ribosomal RNA". It matches the Rfam family "Bacterial small subunit ribosomal RNA", at positions 28 to 507 of the family's 1533-position model. The record is from RNAcentral.